RNAcentral lists this ribosomal RNA (792 nucleotides) under uncultured archaeon. RNAcentral describes it as "bacterial SSU rRNA". It matches the Rfam family "Archaeal small subunit ribosomal RNA", at positions 85 to 879 of the family's 1478-position model. The record is from RNAcentral.
ACUGCUCAGUAACACGUGGAUAAUCUGCCCUUAGGUGGAGAAUAACCUCGGGAAACUGAGAAUAAUACUCCAUAGAUCUAGGAUGCUGGAAUGCACUUAGAUUGAAAGUUCCGACGCCUAAGGAUGAGUCUGCGGACUAUCAGGUAGUAGUCAGGGUAAAGGCCUGACUAGCCUACGACGGAUACGGGUUGUGAGAGCAAUAACCCGGAGACGAUAUCUGAGACACGAUAUCGGGCCCUACGGGGCGCAGCAGGCGCGAAACCUUCACAAUGUGCGAAAGCACGAUGAGGGGAUCCCAAGUGCUUGCUCGUAAGAGUAAGCUGUUUUUAUGUCUAAAAAGCAUAGAGAGUAAGGGCUGGGUAAGACGGGUGCCAGCCGCCGCGGUAAUACCUGCAGCUCAAGUGGUGACCACUAUUAUUGGGCCUAAAACGUUCGUAGCCGGUUUGGUAAAUGCCUGGGUAAAUCGUGUAGCUUAACUAUACGAAUUCCGGGUAGACUGCCAAACUUGAGACCGGGAGAAGCUAGAGGUACUCCUGGGGUAGAGGUGAAAUUCUGUAAUCCUGGGGGGACCACCAGUGGCGAAGGCGUCUAGCUAGAACGGGUCUGACGGUGAGGAACGAAGCCCUGGGGCGCAAACCGGAUUAGAUACCCGGGUAGUCCAGGGUGUAAACGCUGCUUGCUUGAUGUUAGUUGGGCUCCGAGCCCAAUUAGUGUCGGAGAGAAGUUGUUAAGCAAGCUGCCUGGGAAGUACGAUCGCAAGAUUGAAGCUUAAAGGAAUUGGCGGGGGAGCAC